This is a long non-coding RNA of Galleria mellonella (greater wax moth), 1305 nucleotides long. RefSeq lists it as uncharacterized. The record is from RefSeq and is a predicted model, not a curated record. The transcript has 4 exons. Lineage: Eukaryota; Metazoa; Arthropoda; Insecta; Lepidoptera; Pyralidae.
ACAGGAUACGGAGGCAUAACACCUUAGUUCUCAGGAAUGGCGAUGCAUAAAUAGUAUUACGGAUGACAUAGUAUACUCUGUUAUGUCCAUGGUACUGUUCAUGUCUAUAGGCGACGGUUACCACUUUUAAUUUCCAUCAGCUUGUUUGCCACUUUAAUAACACAAGAAAAAAUGACUGAAUUCUGAAAACAUCGCUAAGGCCUAACUGCGGUUGCCAACCCAGGACACUAGUGGCAGUACAGGACAUCUACUACAUGUCUAGCAGUGGACAGGUAACAGCUGCUUUGGUAUACCAUACCAUAAGAAAAGUAGCUUGGAUUAAAAAGAAGAAAAAAAAAACCCAACCUAGCAAGAAUAAUUAGUAUUUCAAAUUAAUUUGUCAAAGCUAUCACCGUUGAAACUGUUGUAUCCUCAUCAUUAUUAUUAUAAAAAAAUUCUUCUAAGUCAUUAUUAUCAUUUUCAUUAUUUAUAACAUUUAUUAUUAUAAUUAUCAGUCAUUAGUCAUAGUACUGCAGUGUGUUUAUAUUCACUUUGUACUAUAAAUAAGGAGUUAUUACUUUUUUAAUGUCGCAGAUGGCCUUGACAGCUUCACCGGGCACGUGUACGGCGAGUGCGGAUGGCACUCCAAGCCCGCGAUAGGCGAGUGACAGAGUGUCGACUCUCACCAUCUAAUCAUAAUGUCGUUUGGUUCCGACUUGGAAUAGGUCACCCUUUUUUCUCCUGUAAGUGUUGUAAGAGGCGAUUAGGGAACUUAAUGGCCGAGACAGCCAACAGCCUUCCUCAAGCAUCAUCAAAGCUUAACUGCGGAUGCCGAUCCAACUACCGGCAAAACUCAACAUAGCAACCACUGGCAAAACCCUCCAAGCUAGACAAUAUUUAAUAUAUUCAUUUUUUUAUUUCACGAACUUAUAUAUAUGAAUUAUCAUGUAAUUACAUUUAAGAAAAUAAUGGAAGAUAAGGAAUAUGCUAUGGACUUGAUGGUAUCAAUAAUGAUUUGCAUUUGGAUUUUGAAAGACUAUUUACUUAUAGUAAUUUUUUGUGCCGAAUGCGAAAAAUUCUACUCGGCAGUAAACGAUGCUCAAGUACUCAGCGUCACUCUCUUGAUGACUACAGGAAACUCAGAAGAAGAAAGAAGGUUGUUUAAAAAUGUACAACGAAUAAACAAGUCGGUUUUUCAAAAAGUUAACGUCUGCUGUAUGUUCAUUAUGGACGCUGGGUCAACACUACAAUUGCUCAGUUUGUUUACCACAUAUAUAAUUGUAAUAUUACAAUUGGCAUUCACUAAUUAUUUAUCUUCAUAAUAAU